CCCUUAGAUGUCCUGGGCCGCACGCGCGUUACACUGAUGCAUUCAACGAGCUUAUAACCUUGGCCGAGAGGCCUGGGCAAUCUUGUUAACGUGCAUCGUGAUAGGGAUAGAUUAUUGAAAUUAUUAAUCUUGAACGAGGAAUUCCUAGUAAACGCAGAUCAUCAAUCUGCAUUGAUUACGUCCCUGCCCUUUGUACACACCGCCCGUCGCACCUACCGAUUGGAUGGUCCGGUGAAGUUCACAGAGUGGCGGUUCGUGGAGUUGCUCGCGAAGUGAAAUGGACCUCACGAUUUAGAGGAAGGAGAAGUCGUAACA
This 315-nucleotide ribosomal RNA is filed under the name uncultured eukaryote. Its description in RNAcentral is "partial 18S ribosomal RNA". It matches the Rfam family "Eukaryotic small subunit ribosomal RNA", at positions 1470 to 1796 of the family's 1831-position model. The record is from RNAcentral.